RNAcentral lists this ribosomal RNA (253 nucleotides) under uncultured bacterium. Its description in RNAcentral is "partial 16S ribosomal RNA". It matches the Rfam family "Bacterial small subunit ribosomal RNA", at positions 524 to 776 of the family's 1533-position model. The record is from RNAcentral.
UACGUAGGGGCCUAGCGUUGUCCGGAUUUAUUGGGCGUAAAGAGCUCGUAGGCGGUUCGGCAAGUCGGAUGUGAAAUCUCCACGCUUAACGUGGAGCGUGCGGUCGAUACGGGCAGACUUGAGUUCGGUAGGGGAGACUGGAAUUCCUGGUGUAGCGGUGAAAUGCGCAGAUAUCAGGAGGAACACCGGUGGCGAAGGCGGGUCUCUGGGCCGAUACUGACGCUGAGGAGCGAAAGCGUGGGGAGCGAUCCGG